This 496-nucleotide ribosomal RNA is filed under the name uncultured bacterium. RNAcentral's name for it is "partial 16S ribosomal RNA". It matches the Rfam family "Bacterial small subunit ribosomal RNA", at positions 28 to 506 of the family's 1533-position model. The record is from RNAcentral.
GAUGAACGCUGGCGGCGUGCCUAAUACAUGCAAGUCGAGCGAACAGACGAGGAGCUUGCUCCUUUGACGUUAGCGGCGGACGGGUGAGUAACACGUAGGUAACCUACCUAUAAGACUGGGAUAACUUCGGGAAACCGGAGCUAAUACCGGAUAAUAUUUCGAACCGCAUGGUUCGAUAGUGAAAGAUGGCUUUGCUAUCACUUAUAGAUGGACCUGCGCCGUAUUAGCUAGUUGGUAAGGUAACGGCUUACCAAGGCAACGAUACGUAGCCGACCUGAGAGGGUGAUCGGCCACACUGGAACUGAGACACGGUCCAGACUCCUACGGGAGGCAGCAGUAGGGAAUCUUCCGCAAUGGGCGAAAGCCUGACGGAGUAACGCCGCGUGAGUGAUGAAGGUCUUCGGAUCGUAAAACUCUGUUAUUAGGGAAGAACAAACGUGUAAGUAACUGUGCACGUCUUGACGGUACCUAAUCAGAAAGCCACGGCUAACUACGU